UGCAGCCAUUUCGUAGAGUGACGUUUUCUGUUGUGAGUCAGCCUCAGGACCCACAUCAGGGGUCACUGCAGAGUUGCUAUGACAGCGGGCUGGAGGAGUCAGAGACACCAAGCAGUAAGAGUUCAUCAGGGCCAAGGCUGGGUGCCCUUCCACUCCCAGAGGACAGCUACGAAAGGACCACGCCGGAUGGCAGUGUUGGUGAGGCAGAGCAUAUGGAAAAUGGUAGGGGCAAACACAGCAUCCACACACAUAAUCACGCUAGUGAGCCAUAAUAAGUAGACUCAUGAGGCUCAGUCUAAAUCCAAGACAAAAUAGCUGACAUUGAAACUAUUGUACCUAAAAAAAAUAUUUGCUAAAGUCCAGAAAUACCAAAUAAAGGAACAUAACUGUAUAGAUAAAAUUCACCAAACUUGCACCAUCAUUUUCAAACAACCUGUCAGAAGUAAACACAUUUACAAAUAAAUCAGACUAGUACCUUCUAUGAAAAAAAAAAAAAAAACUAAACUAAAUUAACUCAUAAUACUUAAACGAUAGAAACUGAUAAAGGUCUUGUGUUAUUGUUUUCUUCUAUUCAUUUUUGUCAUGCAACUAUUUCUUCAACUGCAAUUGUCCAGCCUCAGUGAAAGGAAAUGACAAUAAACACACUUUGCUCAAUUCUUUCUUUUCUGACGUAUUCAGUAAAGCGUUUUGGAACCUCUCCUUUUGAGUGAUAGCUGAAAUGGAGUCAAACAAGAACAAUGAUAUCUUAUUCUCAAAAAAUAGAUUGUAAAUACUAUUAGAACUCCUUGUCAUUUAAUUAUAAGGUUUUUUUUUCUUCUCAUUUUUGUGCAAGGGAAAGAGAAGAAAGCAAAUUUUAGGACUCCAUAUUCUUACCCUUUUGUGAGAUGAUUCUCAUAAUUACCACAAUUGGCCUUCUCUACACUUUCUUGAUGUUAUAAAGUUAGACUGCAGAUAGUUCUUAUAAACUUUUCACAUCUGUUUAUGUUUCCCCCAAACGGGUGAUUUAUUUUUUGGAUUUCAGGUUAUAAGUAAAUGUCUUAGGAAUAGCUUUGUGUCAAAUUAUGGAACAGGAAAGUUCAUACUAAUUUUAUGAUUAUUUCAAAUGUAAAAAGAGAUUUGGUUAUAUGUAAGUGAAGGAAGGGGGAUCACACACAUUAUAUCUCUGGUGAACACUUGAAAUGGAUUUGCCUUUCACCAUCCCAUCCCCCAAGUGAAAUAAGACAUUCUAACUUUUGUUAUACACUGGUUUCUUUAGUGAUGGUAUGCAAAUAGAGCAUAUUAAUUCAGGGAAAUCUGAUUUUUUUUUCUGGAAGUUUACCUAUGAAUAUUAAAAUCCAACCUUAGAGCGUAAUAGAUGACAAGUGAGCUCAAGUGAAAUUAUGGCUAAACUAAAUCAUGUUAAAUAAUUAGUUUUCUACAUUGUUAUCUGGGUGAGAAGAUAUGAUAUCAGGAUCUGUUGAUGGAUAUCCCUCUUGAUGAACAAUCCAGAGUUAUAUGGCAUUUGCCUUAUGGCUAUAAAGGCAUGCUUAUCUGUGUGUAUGGGGGUGUAUGAGUAUGUGGAUGGGAGUUUGAUGUGCUUUUUAAGAAUUAACUAUUUUUAGUAUCAUUCUAAAUGACUACCAAAUUUUGGUAUAAAUUACAUUGCUGAUGAAUAUAUUUCUAAGGCAAAUAUGUUUGAAAUGCUUUGCACAAAAGUAAAAAUUAAGCUAAGAUACUAUAAUAAUAUUACACAUACACACACCUAAGAAGGAAGGAAGGAUUGAUUUAUUUUAAGGACAUUCCUAUAUCUGUGAUUACCUUUUGAUGUUAUCAUUUUAUUUAAUACUUAAAUACUUAAAAAAGUAUUUAUCUCAUUCUCAGCAACCGUAUGUAUAAGGAAGUCUUUAUUUUGGGAUGUCAGCUAUAUUAACAGAAAGGAUUUUGCAUCAUUGGCAUUAUAAUCACAUUUUAAUGUUAUUUUUCUGUUUUUUUUGAGUUUAAGGGGAUUCGACCUUUAAAAUAAGAAAGAAAUGAUGAGUAAGAAACAUAAUUAUAUGUGACAAACACAUUAUCAGUUACUUUUUAGGAAACAUACAUGUCAUGGAAAACUUAACAGGUGAGCUUGUUAAGAAACUAGAAAGUUUACUGAGAAACAUUUCCCACAUAAGGUGUUUAGUUAUUUUUUGUAACCAUGUUUUUAGUCUUGUCAUCAGCAAAGACCAUCAUAAUAGAACUGAUUUUUCUGAUUUUGUGUGUAACUGACACUUGAAAUUCAGUUUUAUGUAAUCAUUUGUCAUCUGCCAGCCGUGAUUCAUGUUAGUCUUGAUCUAUAGGUAAUGACAGAAGGAGACGUGAUUCACUUUGGGUGAUCCAAAUGUAGCAGUUGGCAUUUGAAUAAGUUUUGUUGGGACCAAGUUUUCAGACUACUAUCUAGUCAUAAAGUACAAUUGUAUUGCUUGAAUUCUGGUAAUUUCAUCUUCAAUAUUAAUGGAUCAUUCUGACAUAAAUAGAAUUGGAAUUGAAACCUGUCAAGUAUUCAUUUGUCACCUUUAAUUGGAAUCCAGGUAAUCUGCAACGUUUUGCUUGGUUAGGUUUUAAUCAGGAUUUGUAUUGGAUUUUCUAUGAAAAUACCAUUUUGGAUGCUGUCCUAGUUCCUAAUUAUUAUUACCUCAAAUGUUUUCUUUAAUUUUAACCCAUGUGAAAUAAUGUAGUUAUAACUGAUUUUUGGAUUAACUUUCAUUGUAAAGUUUGGAAGAUAAUUUUCCAGUGCAAAAACAACAUUCCAAUGUCACGACGUGACCUGGGUAUACGCUAGAAAAGCUAAUGAUAAAAAUAAGUUGUCACAGAUGCUUUAGUAAGGAAAUAACUAAAAGUAACUGAAAUAACUAAAAGGAAAAUUUAAGUAGAUAAGUAGUGAAAUGCACUUAUGUUUUACAAAAGCUUUUAUUUGCUUCCUAUACUUUAGCAUAAUAAACACAAUUUUAUAAAGAGGGCUUGUGGAUUAAUAGGUUUUAUAAUAAGCUUUAGCCUACAUUCCAACCCACCUUACUGUCAAAUGAUGAAUGAGGUUUUAUUCUUUUAUUAGCUUAGGAAAAAGAAUACACUGUAAGAAUAAACAUAAUUUCGUGAAACCUGAAUCUAAUAAUUAGAAUGAGUCCCACCAUUUUAAUAAUUUCAGACCCAGGGUACUUAUAUCCAUGGGUCUCUGGAAAGCGGUAAUGGAAACGGUAUCAUUAAAAAGUAUUUUAAGGAUUGUUUAUGAAUUAUACAUUAAUUUAUGAAAAAGAUCACUAAAAUAUUUUCUUUUCUCUUUAUUAUUAUCAAUAGUAUGAUUAUUUCAUGUUGGUCUUUCGAUAAGAUUGGGGAAAUUGGUUAUUUAUUAUUUCAAUAAAAUAUUCCUAACGGGAUAAGGUAUUUUAGAAUAGGGAGCUCAUGAUAGGAAGUUUAGUAAUGAUAAAAUACUUGAUAAUGACAUGUUGAAACAAUUGGAAACCUACUGCAAUAAAUUCAUAAUUCAAGUGAAACCCAAAUAGUAAGCUUAAAACCAUCAUCACAUUAGGAGCAUACAUUGACUAUGCAAGAACUUGCCCUUUUCUACAUUAGGCAGUUGUCGUCAGACUUUCUCACAGAGUGGUAUUUAACCUUCGCUUUAGCUCUAUUGUCACUAUUUAUCUUGACUUUUGAAUUAAUGCCAUAGUCAUCUUAUUCUUCCCAGUCGCCCCCCAGAAUUACCUUUGCAAGUUAAUUUGGCUUUGUUAUAUAUCAUGUAACCAUAUAUAGUGUUCAACAAUUCAAAUAUAAGAAAUAUUUGACCUCCAAUCCCAAUUUUGCCAUUAUGAAUGGGUAGGUCACAAACUCCUUCUGGAUCUGCUACUAAUCAUUUGUAAGGCAGUUAACAGAAUUAAAUCUAAAAUCUUACUCAAAUCCAACAAUCUGUGAUUUUUUUCUUACAUCCCAUUUUUCUUAUAUGUUUUACUUUCCAAGUCAGAAAAAGUACUUUGGGUCUCUUAGUGAGAUGGCAAAUGAAUUUGAAAAUUUGUGCUAAUGUGAGCAGGGAAGAAUUCUAGGGCCUUCCUUGCAACCUACAAAACGUGCAUUUUAAUAGUAGUAAUGCAUGUAUGAGAUAAAGAAGUGAAGUGAGUGAAAUUGUGUGAUUUCUGACUAGGUGAGUAGAAAUGUUGGUACCUUACAGGUCAAUGUGGGAGACAAUUUUAGAGCCUCCCUCAAAUCACACCAUGCAAGAGCUAUCUGUAGAUUUGAUCUGGCCCUGGGUGUAAUGCCCUUCAAAACAUUAAUUGUAAUUAAGUGAUCUCACAAUAGAAUGAACACGUUUACUUUCUUGUUUGACAACGUACUUUGAUCAGAGUAAGAAUGAACAAAAGGUAGAAAAUGGUAUUUAUUUUCCUCUAGGUAAACCUCCGACUAGUAUAACAUAGACGUAAAUUAAAACUGGAAAAUAGCAGUUGGUCUGUAAAGCAGAUUUCAAAAACUUAAAUAAAGUAAAAAAGAAAUUGACCACGCUAAAUGCCUAAUUAAUUUUCUGCCACUUUAUGUUCUCAGAUUUUUAAAAGAUCAUUUUGAUAUUUAUACACUAAUAUUUUUGAGCGUACCCCCACUUCCAAGCUCUCUUACAUUUUCAGAAUUAUAUGUUAGGCUUAAUCAUUGUUUCAGUCAUUCCCCUCACUCCACAUGUGUUCAAUAGGGUUUAGAAUACAUUGUUUUUGAUGGUUAGAACAUGGUACAGUCCAUCACAAAGCCAUUUUGUAUAUGCUAUGUGCUUGUCCUUUGAUUUCAGAAAUAAAUGACAGUAUAUGUGAAAUACCAAUUGGAAAUGAAGUACCAUUUUUAUAUGAACAAGGAUAAUGAGGAUGGAGACUAACCUCAUAACCUGGUGUGGGAUAAAGGGUUUUCUCUCUGCUUUUCUCCCAUCUAUCCAAUUUCCAAUUCACCUACCCAAUGGGGGUCACUUUUCGGGUACCCCCAUCUAGUCACUGUUGGUUUGUACUGUUUUCAUUUAGACUAAAUUAAAUAACAAGUCAGUCUCCCAUCUUUCCAAAGAUGCCCAAAUACUUGUUAAUGGCAGGAGCGUAAUCUCUCAAAACAAAUGCCCCACCUAUUUUUUUUUUUUUUUUCCUUCAGGAAGACACUCACAUACCCUGGAAAGGAUUCAUUUCCAUGGUUCUGUUUUUCAGUGUGGCACUCUUGUUGCCAGAGUUGGAUUGCAUUUUCUCCUUUUCUAGUCAUCUGUGAAAUGGCUUUGUGCCUCUCGAGUAUCCCCAAGUCCACCAUGCCCCCACUUUUGUAGGGCUUUACUCAGUUGUGCUUUUUCGUGGUGAUUAGAGACAGCAAGUAAUUACAGAUGUUGUCUCCAAUCAAGAUGUGGGCUGCGGAAGUUUUCUAGUAAAUGAGCAGCACAAUCCAAAAGAAUCCAAAGAAGAUACUGUCCUAGACAAGAAGCAACGUUGUCUGUAGAAUAUAGUGGUUUAAAAAAUAGACUUUGCAACCAGAUGACAUCGGUUUGAAUUCUGGUUUGUCCUCUUAGUAACAGUGCAGUUUUCUGACCUCUCUUAGCCCUGCUUCCUUCAAUAGUAAAUCAUACUAUUGUGGGAGAAACUAAAUGAAGUAAUAGCACCUAAUAAUUUAUACUUAAAUAAUGGGUAGCAAUAGUUUCACCAUAUGAACUGAUGAUAGAAUUGUUUACUAUGAUUCAAAUAGUAACGGGAAGUAAUUUUGAUUAUUGACUUUAGGCAGAUUUUACAUAACACAAUAGCUUAAUCAUGAAAGCAUCAGAUAUGUUUAAGUAUAUCAAGGAUCUGAAAUGAAAGGAAGGGAGGAUUCUAUCCUCUGGCAUCAAAUCAACCCCACUCUCUGUGCUCUUCACCUUUCAAGGUGGGGAUAAGUCAUCAUUACUUCCUAUAUUCCUUUCUCACUUUUAAAAUCUUUUUACAUUUAUGCUCAGGGUUCCUGUUGAAUGCGUAUUCUUCAGGUGUGUAUUUCCCUUUGAACUGCUCUAAAAUAUUCACACUGACAGGGAAAACAAGCUGAAAAAAGUGACCAAUUAGUAUGCUUACCGAACUCUCAGCCCUUUCUUUUUUAAUCUCAGUAUUAAUAAUUAACACUGAUAAAAUGUGUGGCCAUAUUACCCUUUUUAUUCUAAUUUGGUCCUUUAAAACUAGAUCACUCUAUUGAGCCCUUAUGACAUUUGAGGACAGAAUGAGCUCUCAUCAAAUCUCAAAGUGACUUUAGAGGUCAGUUAGUGUCUUUGUUGCCUUCAGACUCUCAAAUCAUUUGCUUAUCUGAAUUCCAGCACACUUGUUAGAUAAUGCAUUCGACGUGUAGCUCCUUAUUUAGUUAGGGUAUUAUCUCCAUAUUUUUUGCAUCCUUUUUUUGCAGAUAGACUUUUCUGAUUUUUCUCUAGAGUUAUGUAUAAAAAAAAUUGAUGUUGCUGACAUAUGACAACACUCUUAAGCAUCUUUUAUGUGUCAAAGAAAUGGUAGAAUUUGUCUGUAAAGUGUAGUUAACCCUCAACCUCAGAAGUUAGUCCACUUAUUGAGAAACUGUUUCACUUGAGUAUUCUUCUUUGAGGAUAAAACACACUCUGUUGUUAUCUCUUCUAUUGCAGCUAUUUAAAAAAAAUAAUGUUUAUUUAUUUUUGACAGAGAAAGAGACAGAGUAUGAUCAGGGGAGGGUCAGAGAGAGAGGGAGACACGGAAUCUGAAGCAGGCUUCAGGCUCCGAGCUGUCAGCACAGAGCCCGACGCGGGGUUCGAACUCACAGAUCGAGAGAUUAUGACCUGACCCGAAGUCGGAUGCUCAACCAACUGAGCCACCCAGGCACCCCUAUUUUUUUUUUUAAUUUAUGAAAAGCAUUAUCUUUUUAAGUAAAGCAAAGUGGAAUAUUAUCCCUGUCUCUUGUUUAACGAGGUAAUUAUAUACUGACAAAUCUGUGGUUAUUCGUUUGAUUCAACAAAUGUGUUGAAAAUAAAAUAUGACCAAGGUUCUCUGAGGAAGUUGAAGUGAAUGAGAAAGAAUCUCUGACUUCAUGGUACAAGUCCUUAUGUUGGGGCGAUACAAACUUGAUUUCAAUAACUUCACUAUAAUGUGAGAGGAGGAAACUCAUUAGAGGAGUUCAGAGCAGUGAAGUACCGAGAAGGGAGAGGAAAAAUACACAGAUGAAAUGAUUUCAAAUGCACUUAUUGGAAUUUUUACAUUAUAAAUAACUUCUUGGGCUGGGAGAAGGCCUUAAAAUGUUAUCUGCAUUGUACCCUCUCUUUCUCCCUACCCAUUUCUACAUCACUUAAAAAUAAUUAUUAAAUUGGCCUGGAGGCUUCAUGUUAAGCCAAAAAAGUCAAAUUAUUUGUUUAAUUUUUCUAAUCAAAUUAUUGUUUUUUUUCCCUUUUUUAUCUUCCUUUUGUUCUUGUUGCUACACAUAAUUACUUAGAAAACUCUAGAAUUUAUCUGGGAUGAAAUUGGCAGAACACUAAAUCCAGGUCUAAACUACAAAACAGAUUAAAUUUAUGUCUGUUCUCGCUCCACUUAUAAAUAUGGAUAAUUAAUAAUAAAAUGUGUGCUUUAUAUAAAGUUCUUUCAAUCUUAAUAAGGGCCUGUAAAUAAUUUUUUGAAGUUAUUGUCUUUUCAGAAGACCAAUUAUAUUACUCAAGUAGAUGAUUAGAUUAAAGAUUGGAUUAGAUUAGUUGUAUUUUUUAAAAACUAAUGCAUUCCUUGUGCUGUGGUUGCAAAUUGUUUUUGUGAUUGCUAUCUUAAGUUUCAAGCUAAGUUCAUGGAGGUUAGUCUUUAUGUCAUAUGCCCUUUCAAUCUGAAAUAUGGACAAAAGGUUGCCUUGUUUCUAAAUCUUAUUUCGGAUACAUUUUUACUUAAAUGCAGGUUGAUUUUUUUUUUUUUCAACGUUUAUUUAUUUUGGGGACAGAGAGAGACAGAGCAUGAACGGGGGAGGGGCAGAGAGAGAGGGAGACACAGAAUCGGAAACAGGCUCCAGGCUCUGAGCCAUCAGCCCAGAGCCCGACGCGGGGCUCGAACUCCCGGACCGCGAGAUCGUGACCUGGCUGAAGUCGGACGCUUAACCGACUGCGCCACCCAGGCGCCCCACAGGUUGAUUUUUUUUUUGACAUGAGUCUCAUCAUUUUGCAUGCCUUCUCAUUACUGUCCAAAAAGGAGAAUUAUAAGUUUAUUACAAAAUGAGGAUAUGUUUUAAACACAUGCAAAUUUAAAUGCUUCCUUUAAAUAGAUUUUCAACUGCCAAAAUAUGAUAAUCUCAAAACCCACUAAUUUUUGAAACUGUAUGCUCAAAUGAAACUAUGAUGAGUGUUAUAUAGUGUUUUGGUAAUAAAAGAUAGUAGAGCAGUGUCCUGCUGCUUAAAAACUGUCGACUCAUUCAUUUUUGUUGCAAAAUAAAUCUUUUACAAGUUUAUUUCCACUCUGAAAUGUUCAUCAUCUACAUUGAUGAAGUCACCAGGGGACCCACAUGUGGUCUGAGAAGUGGUAUGCUUCUCUGAGGUUGCAUUCCUAUCAGCCAUAGUGCCUAGACUGAAUUAUGCCCAUUGUUUUUAUUCAGUAUGAGGCUGCAUUUCACCAACUCAGCAAUUGUAGCAAAAGGUCAUAGCAGUCAUAGCUGAAAAUUUUAUACAAUGAACAGGGAAUUUAGGAUAUUAAGAGAAUUCAUCGACUUCAAUAACCAUUUCUUGAGCAUUUACUCCGUGCCCAUUCCCAUGAGGGAUCCAAAGGUGAAUGAGACAUGCUCUCUAACUUCUAAUCAUUUGCAUAUUGUGAUGGAGAAUGGCAUGUACCAACUUAGAUGAUUAAAAAUAAAGUCAUGAGAGGCUCUAUGCAGAUUUUAAAAUGCAUGCUACCCAAACCAUAGGAUGAUAUGAGUUAGGGAUAUGAAAACCCACAGCCAAGCUUUGAAGGAUAGGUAAGUAGAGAUUUGAUAAGUAGAAAUAUGGGCAAAGUUAUAAAGAAUAGUGAGUGAUGCCAAGGAGACCAAUCUGAGAGGGUGGCAAAACUGGGGUGCUACUUUGCCAAACGGGCAAAAAUGCGAAGAAUAGCCCAUUUCCAGGAGAAUUAAUCUGAUUAAGACAUGUGAACUUUAAAGUACCUUUGCAAAAUUCAGACAAUAUCUAGAAGACCUUCAGAAAUGUACAUCUGAAAUUAGGGAGUAUACACAGAUAGAAAUAUAGCCUUAGGAGUUAGUAUCACCCUGGUGAUUAUGAAAUCUUGGGAAUAGUGAGACCAUCUCUUAAACAUUUGACACUGGGAAGAGAUGAUACCCAACAUGGAAUCUGAAAAAAAUGAUGAAAUAUAAAAGAGUAAUGGAGAAGUAGGUUUCAGUGAAGGUUCCUGAGAAUGAUAUUUUUUAAAAGCAAAAACAAAAUAUGGCAGGCUGAGGGCAUAUUUAGAAUUAGGACAGUAGUGGUUAUCAAAUGUCCAGUGUUGCAGAGAUGAAAGAAGUAGACACGUGAUCAUGCAGACCUUGAUAAUGAAAGGAACUAGUAAACCCAACUGAGAGACAUGUUGUUCUCUACAUUCUUCUCUUCCGCUGUGCUGUAAGCUGUUUGAGGACAGGGCCUUCACCUUGGCCUAGAUAUAACUGGAAUAAUCCCUAUACACAGUUAUCCAAAAAAAUUGUUGAACUUAGUUGUGUGGAAUAAGGGCCCAAUGUUUCUGAUAGAGAUUCAGCAGAAGUGAAACAACUAAGAGAACUGAAGACCAGGAAAUGUAGUAUAAAAAUACACUUAAGAAUUUCUUUUUAGGUCAAACUAGACAAUUAUAAUGUCAUUAUCAAAGGUGGGGGCAGGGUUUCAUCCCUUGACAGUAAUCUUAAUUAAUUUCUUAUCAUCUUAUGCUCCUAUUGUUCAGAAUUAUUAUUUAUUUUUUAUGAAAUUUACUGAAAGUACUACAGAGUCUGAAAUUUCUGUAUAGUAGCUUCCAUAUUUCCUUGAGUAAUAUAUUAGCUACUCUUUUAAAUGAGUUUUGGCCUCUUACUUUUAUAUUUUGCUUUAUACUAGGCCAUCAUUUGUCCAUCUCACUGGCUUGAAAUUCAAAUAGUGCCUGACUAAUUGCAUUUUUUGUGAGAUCUAAUAAUUGAUAACAUUUUCCUGGUCAUCAUCAAAAAUUUUAUUUUGUGAUUAUGGGAUUCCUGACACUAUAAAAGUGCCAUUAAUUGUUGGUAAUACUGUGCAAAUAGAUAUGCUUCAAAACAGAAAAUAAUGAAAAUACAAUUUGGUUGAGAAAUAAAUUCAAGCAACAUAGUACAAGGACUGUCCAUAUUCAGUCUAUUUUAUAUGUAAACAACACUACAGAAAUGCAUGUUAAAGAUGCUUACCAUAGCUAGUACACCAUGCAAAGGAAGAAAUGCCUCCAAAUAUAUUAUGUGCAAAGACUUACUAAUAACGAUUUUCCGGGCAGAUGUCACUUUUGAUGUUGUUUUUAUCUAAGGAAGGUCAACCAUCAAUGUCACAUAAAUUUAUUCUCCUUUCUCUGUGUUCAUUAUUGCUUAGUAGGAAUUGUGAAUAGGGACUUUAUUGAUAAAACUUGUCUUCCAGCCCAAGGUAAUCUAACCAAUUGCUGCAUAAUAAUUUCUAAAUAAAAAUGCCACCUCUAUUUAAUGACACAUAUGUCUACUUGGCUCAUCAGAAAUCUCUAGAAAUAUCAAUUUGUAGCCUGCUAUAUGCAUUUGCCGUUGUCCUGAAACUUUCAACAGAUUGUAUGAAAAUGUAAGGUGUGCCAAGAGAAGGCUAUCUGUCUGAUUACCAGGUGGCCUCUAGGUGGUACCUGGAAUUUUUUUCUUAAUCUAAAAAUCCAAUUUUUAUCAGUGCACAUUUUACCAGUGCACAGAAUUGUACAAAGCCAAGGCCAGUUCUCAACAAUAUCACAAGAUCCUGAUGUUGAACUUGAGCAUUAGUUUAUUAAAUUUUGAGGAGUGUAUCCUAUUCAAGAAAUUGGAAAAUCCUUGCUUCCUCUUCAAGACAGUACCCUUUAUCUCUAAAGAGACCCAAGGAAAAUCGGCAGCAUUAUCUCUUGAAAGAUUGCCUGGUGACGAUGGAAUCAUAAGAGGGACUUUGUCAUCCAGACGCACUGAGGCUAGAUGACGUUUACUGAAACACAUCCACCACUGAAUGGAUCAUCUCCUGAAAAAUAGAUUGCAUUGGCUCCCUAGAUUCGGGGCAUCUUUUAGUACUAGGUGCCAACCAAGAUGCUGUGUCCUAACUUGUGUUUGUUGCUUUUGUUGUUUUCUUGCUUUCUGUUCUCUUUAAGGUCAUCUCUUAAGGAUUUUGCAUAUUCUUUCUUAAAAUAUGUAAAUGAUUUUUUCAAUAUCAGCUUUAAGCAUGCUUAUAUAACCAGACUUCUUUUCAUUCCUUGCUUCUGGUCUAUUCUGUAAGGUGUCUUUGCAUUACCUAAACAUUUAACCAAUUAUUCAUCAGAGCUAUUAUUUACCUGCAUAGUUACUAACAGUUCCUCUUGAGUGUGUGAUAUCUAACACUCACAAUGGUGUAUCAAAAAUAUCUUCUAGACAUAUACGUAAUUUUUUUAAAUUGUUGUUUCUAUAGUCAUAAUUUCUUGGAUGACUCCACCUAAAAAAAUUCAAUCUUCAAAUAUAUAAAUACUUGAGGAAAUUAAGUUUUAAGACCCAAUCCUUAUUUUUUCCCUUUACUUUGGUCAGUGCAAUGUUAACCAUACAUCAUCAUCUUUAAAUAGGUGAUUGGAAGCAACAUGUUCACACAGAACUGUAUUUUAUCAGAGUUCUUUGCCUUAAACUUCCUCCCCUUUAUUCGGUGUGAUCAAUUGUGUUCAGCCUUCAGUAGUUCUUUGAGAAUUCAAUUUUGAGAGGCACUUCUAGUUUCCCGGACAACAUUGGUUCAUCUCUUUCUUCCAGAAUAAUGAAGAUCUAAAAUCUAAUUCCUGCCUAUUUCAGCCCCAGACUGUUUUCAUCCUCUUUCGUGAAAUCAGACCCACAUCCUUUUCUUUUGUAGCCCAUGUCUGAGGAUUACCUAUGUCCUCAGGAUCAAGUAGCUAUUAAAUUAGUUCUAUCAAUUGUCCAUGGGUUUAGAGGUCCCCAUGUGUGUUUUUCUUAAGUAACCACAUUUUAUUUCAGAGCACAAAGUAUAGGACUUUUGACUUGAUUACUUAGCCUUUGCUUUUUCUUUUUUUUUUUUUUAAGUUUUUGAAAAUACUAAAGGAAAUACAUUACUCUUCUUUACCCAAAUGAAAAGUUCUGAAUUUCUCUGACAUUUCAUUCCUGAAGGAGGAUUAGAGGACUUUCCUACAGAUUGACUCUGAGGUUUCAUUUUUUUUAUUAUUUUAUGCAUUCUAAUAACCUUACUUCUUUGCCUCUCCCAACUUCACCAUUCCAUGCACAUUUUCUCCCUUGCAAUACCUCAUCUAUAACAUUUUGAGGAUCAAAUAAUUCAUUUUCUAUACCAAAAGUCAUUAUAUUUUGAGUCCUUUCAGACUAUCAAGUUUCUAUAUUCCUUUUGGGAUGGUUUUUAGAAGAGUCUGUCUGUCUUAUAAAUUUUCAAAUUGAAAAUUUCCUUCUUAAAUCUAACUUAAUUCUUCUGUGUAAUAAUUCAACACGUCAAUGUUCUACCGUAUAUUUUGAGAGUAGAAGUUUGUGAGUUUGAGUCUUUGUUCAAGCUCUAUUACAUCUGAAGGGAAGGAACCUGGAUCAAUUCACAUAAUAUCUCGUUCACUUAUAAAAUGUGGACAAUAAUUAUAAUAAUUACUGUCCAGUCUUCCUCAAAGGUCAUUGUUCUGAAUACAUAUUUUUAGGUAGUUAGCAUUUAAUAAAAUUAUAUCAAAUUACUACUUUACUAUCUUCACUAGUUACCUUUGCAGUUUUUUCUGCUUCUACAGCUUUUUUUUUCACAUGAAAUCAAACUUGUAAUGUUCAUAAUAUUCAGUAAGUGCAUGAUUGUUUUCUUGCCUACAAAAAAUGUUCACUGUCCUCACUUAUAUUUUGGCAUAAAGAUCAGUUGUUUCUUGGUUCCUUUGGAAAUCAGUAUUGGUUUUCAAGGUUACAAGCACAUGGCUCUCUAUGUACUGUGAAUAAGUGCCAGUAUUUAUAAUAUGAUUCUGCAAAAACCAUAGACAAAAAAUAUUAAUAGUUUCAAAUUUAUUUUCUGCAGCUAGAUGGCUUCUCUCUUUAAGAAGCCUGCAUAUAUUUUCCUGGAUUUAUUGUGAAAGAGUAGUAAAUGACAGAAACCAGUAACUCACAAAGAUAUUCAUCAAAUAAUUAUUAAAGAUCAUUCAGUGCCCAGCAGCAGAACAGUUCUUAAAGCGCUGAGAUUACAGACGACUCUCAAAUAUUCAUGGCAGUAAGAAAAGCCUUGUAAAGAGGAUCGCCAAUCACAGAGUAGGGAUAGACUCUGCUAAUUAGGCACUGACUCGUAACGCUUAUUCACUUCUCCACUUAAACUGCUAAUUAAGGCAAAUAUAUUUAUAAAUGUAGGAAUCAACUUUUAUGGGAUAUUUGAGAUUAUUUUCAGAAUAUAAAGCAAAACAUCCCAAUCACAAUACAAGUCAAGCAUAAAGGGUUGAAAAGAUUUUAUUACAUUUCUUUAUUUUUGAGAGGCCGAGAGAGACAGAGCAGGAGCAGGAGAGGGGCAGAGAGGGAGGGAGACACAGAAUCCGAAGCAGGAUCCCCGCUCAGAGCUGUCAGCACAGAGCCCGAUGCUGGGCUCAAGUGCACGAACUGUGAUAUCAUGACCUGAGCCAAAGUCAGAUGCUCAACCGACUGAGACACCCAGGUGCCCAGGGCUGAAAAUAUUUUAAAGGGAAGUCCUCAUGAAGUAUCUCCAAUGUCAGAGACAAAUGAAUUAUAGACUUAUUCACUCCUUGUCACAAUUUAACACCCAAGGAGAGAAACACCAGAAAAGAAAAUAUGCCAUAAAGUGGGUAAUCUACUUAUUUUAAGGUUUAUUGGAAUGCUGAAGUAGUAUUCUUAUUAAGUAUCUAAAAAUAAAUGAUAAAAAAGGGUAAGGAAAAUUGAAAUAAUAAACUACUACUUUUAUGGUACAUUAGUGCUAACCUGACUGUUCUGCAUAUUCAUUUGCUUUGUAGAAUCACUGAGGAAGGUAAUAUUAUCUGCAUUUUAUAGAUGAUGAAACUGGGCAGAAGAUAUGUAAAAUUAUGGUUAAUAACUGAUAACACUAGGUGUUCAAUACAUAGUAGCUGUUAUUAUUUAUCUUUCUUGCUUUUUGCUAUUAGCUCCACAGGUCUAUUUUUGCAUUACUGCAUUCAAAGUUCAUGAAACUUAUUGCAGCUAGUACAAUUAUUUCUAUUUUAAAAACAUCUUUAAGUAGAAAAUUAGUUUUCUUUUAUAUUUAGUAGAAGCACUCAUUUUUUUUAUGUAGUUUUGAACAAAUCAUUGAUCUUCUUGGGUCAUUGUUUAAGGAAGGCAGUAAAUCCAUUCCUUACCUAUUUUUUUCAGGGACAUUAAAAGAAUCUUUCUUUUUAUUUGUGCGAUUUAUAAAACACAAUGCAUUUUUUUUGUAAUUUUGUAAAAGCAAUAUUGUAUUUCAUCAUUAAAAAUCACUCUAAAUUGUGGUUUGACAUAAUUGUUGAGACCUGGGAUCCUAAGUAACACUGUCAAGUGUUUAUAUCAUAAAAAUCAGGAAGAGGCUAAUAGGGUUUUUUUCUCUUUAGAAUAACAGAAUAAUAGACUCAAUGUCAUGAGCUGCUUAAAGAAAUACAGUACUCAAGAUAGGGUAAGGAUUAAUACCAGGUGCUUUAUUCACUGGUUAAACUUGAUAGUUCUAUUUCUUAUGGCUGUAUCUCAUUGGUAGUGCAUUCUACACACACACACACACACACACACACACACACACACACACACACCCCUUCACUGCACCCUCUGCCAAGGUAGGGAAGGUGCUUCGCUCAUUGGGAUAAUGAAAAUAUGUCGUAAAAUACAGCAUUGGAAGCCUGCUUCUGGGGUUGGUCCCAUGACUCCCAAAGACUGUAGAAACAAAGCAAUUAACUUUUUAAUUAUGCAAACCAUUCAGUAAAGUAAGCACUAAAAAGAUGCUUCAACAGUUUGCUUCAUACUGUUAAUAUUGCCUCAAUAAUGUUGAAAAUUUCAAAAUAAGCUCAAAACAGGCUAAGUGUAUAAACUCUUACUAGUUUUUGUGAAUGUACUCUUUUUAAGAUAAAUAUAGGAAAAUACUUUCAUACCCAUUUUGCUAACUUCAGAACUAUUAAAUUGUGUUAAAUAAUAUGAUUUUUAUAUUUUAUAAUGAAACUAGAAAAUAUCUUCGCUAUUUAAAGACUUGGGAACACAUAUUUUUAACUGCAACACAAGGCCCCUGACCCCCUAGGAAAUAUUUAUCUCAAAUAUGCCUAUCUUUUGAUCUAAAUUAUUGAACUUGCUUAAACUUGCUGUAGAAUAAGAAGCUUACUUAGAUACGUGACAAAUUAAGAUAAAUUGGAAAAGAAUUUUGGAUUCACUGGCAUAACAAGUUAACGGGCAUAUAUAUUAUCCAUAAAAAAGAAUUUCCAAAUCCCUUUCACUCAAGUAUUAUAUCUUGUUAUAUCUUUUAGUAGUAGCGAGAAGAAAUGGCUUACAAAGGUAGAUCGAUGAUUCGAUUGGUGGGAGCAUUUACAAUAUUGUAAUUUGUUUUUCAUGCUAAAAUAAGAAUAUAUAUUUUUAAUUUGACAUAUGGAAUCGCUUCAUGUAUUUAGAAAUAUACAGACACAAAAGAUGGUGCAUAUUUCAGUGUGAGAUUAAGUAAAAAUACCUGUAGAAGCUGGCAUAUUUAAUUCGCUAAUGAUUGACCUAGUCCUUAAGCAAGUGAAAAACCCCAUCUGCCCCUGCUGUUUAUUUUUAAUUAUCAUAUAUGUUUUAACAUCAGUGCCAUGGUCUUUAUUUCCUUCUAUGGGAAGAAGGCAGGGCAUUUCUGAAAUGAUUAAGGCAGUUCUCUUGCCUUGAAAGGGGAAAACAAGAACAGAAAUGUAAUAUAGCUACAUGGAGAGAUGCCUGCCUCUGAGCUCUUUUCAUUUUAGCAGGUUGAGAAAUAUUGCUGCACGUUAUGGCUCAGACACAUAUUCUUUCUAAACGAAGGUUACUGCCAUUGAUUUCAAAGAGCAAAAGGAUCCAUUAUAAUAUUUUUUGCACUUCAUUUAGCUAGUCUCCUGAUGGAUUGGACUUCAUGAACUACCUUCUACUUGAUGCACCUUCCUAAACAAUUUUGAGGACAAAUAAUUUAUUUUAUGGCUCACCAUGAGGAAAAUUUGACUUCCCAGUUGCUGCGUAUUUCAGAUUUUCAUUUUGAAACUUAUAAGCAAACGAAGGAAUCUCUGCUUGUUCACUUGGGAAACACGCAGAAACACACUCGUGCAUAUACACGCACCAUCCCUGACAAGCUGGGCUGAGAAGACGGAAGCCUAUCUUGGAAAAAGUUUGAGUAAUAAAUUAGGUCUUCAGAAAGAUUUUCUUUUGGAAAUGUUCUAUUAGAUUACAGUCAAUAGUUUCAUCAGCUGUAAACAUGAAAGCCUCCUACAGUAGUAUUGAGACUUCAUAUUUUAAAAUGAGUAAUAUGUUCUUUAGUAAAGUAAAUUUUAUUAAAUUGCAAAUAGAAAACUUGUUGCACAUGUUUCUGUAAUUUUGGAUAAUCUUCUCUCAUUCUUUAUCACGCCAACCUGGAAUUCAGUAUAAUUCUUUAAAUAAAACAGCAACCCAAAGACCAUAAGGCUAACUUAUGCCUAGAGUUUUCUAAUGCCUUCUACUGCUUUUCCUCCCUUGAGAAUAAGGUGUAUUUCUAUCUUUUCACUAUACAGAUUUUUGGACUGUAGUGAUUAAGUUAAAACAGCUGUAUGUUAAUUUAGAGCAUUCUCAAAUAUCGCCUCAAGGUUAUUUCACAGGAUUGCUCCAAUGUUUCCUCAUUUCAAAAUAUCCUUGACGCCUAAAGGCUCGGUUCUCCUUACGAGAGGUUUUGUUUUUUGAAAUUUUUUUUUUUCAACGUUUUUUUUAUUUAUUUUUGGGACAGAGAGAGACACAGCAUGAACGGGGGAGGGGCAGAGAGAGAGGGAGACACAGAAUCGGAAACAGGCUCCAGGCUCCGAGCCAUCAGCCCAGAGCCUGAUGCGGGGCUCGAACUCACGGACCGCGAGAUCGUGACCUGGCUGAAGUCGGACGUUUAACCGACUGCGCCACCCAGGCGCCCCGAGGUUUUGUUUUUUAAUAUCAGCCUAAAAAUCCUCGGGAGCACUUAGGCCUGGAACUACUCAUAUCCAGCAACAGGUCUCUACAAGAAACCGUGCCUGAGACCAAAACUGCCGGAGUUGGUAUUUCGAGUUUCUGUUGGAAAUGUAGGAUAAUCUGAUGUAAAUGUACCAGUUAUUCACAAUAGCGACUUCAGCAUGGUGGCCUGUGAAACCCUUCGUGCUCUUUCUCUCUGCAGUAGCACACGGCCAUAACUGCCCCCUGCUUCUGUAAUGCUUGUUAUAAGAAAGUCCUUCUGAUGCCACUCGUAAUAUACCUUUACGGAGGCAAUGCAAGAUAGACCCGACCGGUAACCGAAUUCUCUUUAAUAGUGAAUUGUAUUCUUGUGAGACUCAGCAGAGUGAUUUUCUUUCAGAGUUAAGGGUUUUAUGUUGAAAUAGUAUUUAUUUAUUUAUAUUAUUGAACAGUCUCACUGCUAUGGCUAAGAAAAUUGCUCCAUAAAAUACUUGGUAAUGUAAAUGUGAGAAUGAAAGUUAUAUAUCUGGUGAUUUAUUAAAUUUAUGACUUGUUGGAACAUGACUGUCUCUAUAAAGACAUCGAAGAUACACAUUGGAGAAUAUUCUAGCAAUGCCUUGUAAAAAUGGGACGCCGUUGUUAUUUGAAAUCUCAAAAGCAGGAACCGCUGUAGAGGUAUGCCUUCAGCAUUUCUAAGUUUGUGCGACCUGACGUUGCAAAUCUAAAUUUGAUGUAGGAAAUUUAGGACGUGCGUUUAGUUUGGAAUGCAUUCAUGUGUUUAUCUCUUUUGAUGUAUGCUAUUCCCUUACCUGUUUCUUUUAUUGGCAAGGAAUAGGAGGGUCAGUUAAGAGUAGGAAGUUAAUUGGAUUUAUGUUAGAGGGAAAACAGACCAAGGUUGAUGAACACAAGCCUAGAAUUUGAGACCACUGGUCACCCCAGAAUGAGGAAUAUUGGCCUGUAGGCAGAGGAACUCAGGGCCAUAACAAAUGUCCCGGAAGUACAUUUGUCAUAGUGAAGUAUCUUUAACUUUCUUCAUUUCCUAGGAAUUACUUUAAAUGUUUUGGUCCACAUUUCAAAGAGGAUAUAUAUAUAUAUAUAUAUAUAUAUAUAUAUGUCAUAAACUUAAAAAAAGUUUUUAUCAUCACAUUUUCUGAAUUGAUUUUGAUUGAAACUCUCUUGAGAAAUUUAGUGUAUUUGGCCCAUAAAGUUUUUACUUUGAAAAAGGGGAUUUCAGGAUUCUUUUUAUAAUAAACCCCCAUUAACGGAAAUGUUAGUAGAAUAUUUGAAAGACUCAAAAAGGUUUAGCCACACAGAAGAGUUUAUAAAAUUAUCUUUUUAUAAAUAGAAAAAAAAACAACAGCUAAAUACAAAAGAAUAUUUUGUGCUUUUUAUGCAAAUAGAAUAUACCGAGACAAAUAUUUAGUUUCUCCUUAUGCAAUAUUCUUAAAAUAGAUAUAGUUAUUGUUUUUACAAUAAAAUCCAUGUGGCGUAUGGUUUAUUUUCAAGUCCCCUUCCCAUCCAGGAAAUGUAUUACUUAACUGAAAUAUAAAAGAACAUAUAUGUUGGGGGUGGUAGUGAAAGAACAGCUUCUUCACAUAUAUUAGCAGACCCAUAUGCUGUUUAUUAAAUCCGAUGCUAGUCAACCAAUUCAGAGAGCUGAUUGAAAUAAAAGGAAAUCAGCAAAUUUGCAGAAGUAUGAAAACAUGUGCACGUGUACUACUCACGCAGUUUUAUCAUCUGUCAGAUUCCUCAGGAGUAUACCAUAUUUUUGUAGGCUUGAAAUAAAACAUUAUGAAUUCAUACAUAUAUAAUGAAAUAAAGUAUAUGCUUUGAGGGAAUAGCAUUGCCCAAAGUUGACAUUUUUGUUCAUGUAAUUUAAAUGACAGUAUUAAAAAAGGGGUUUUGUGUAUUAACUGAAUACUAACUUAGAGCAUGCUUCUUAUCUCUUUGGUUGUACAUGAAUGUGUUGAGAAGAAAAUAAUACCCAAUUUUUUUUUCUAAGCAUCUGAAAUGUUUUAUAGUCAAAGAACAACUUAUGUUUUAAAAAUAAAUUAAAAUACAUUAAGAGCAGUGUGCAAGUAUUUCAAAUAAAGGAUAGGGUGAACAGACUGUUUUAUUUUCCUUCCCUUUUCCUUCCAUAUCUAUGAAUAAUCGUUCCUUGAGGUUUAAAAUUAUAAAUAACAGUACAGAGUGGAGUUAUUUCAACUUUACAAAGGAAAUCAUCCAUUUUUUUUUUCUUUUUCAUAUUAGUAAACUCAAAAUGGCUUUGCAUAGCUCCUGCUAAUUUUAUUCAAGACUGAAGCAUUUUUGACCAAAAACAUGUUGCCAAUUGUUAGUAGAUUAUUACAUUUAUGUGGCUAAAUUCACUCCGAAUUGACGACUGUUGUUUGACUUGGCAUAGUUAGAAUAUGGUAGUUGGUACUAAAAGGAGAGAAGUAGCAAAAAAAGUUGUAAAAAAAAAGAAAUAUUUCAAUGAGGAAACUAUAAGCAAAUCAUGCUGUAGGGAAGGAUGGUUUGAGUAAGGAGAUUUUAUCCUCCAGUUAUCACUGAAGGUUGGUUACAUCAACCCCUCCCAUACAGGCAUGCAAAUUGGGACCAGAAAAAUGGAAGUAAAAAUUAUCAUCUAAUAUUUAAUUUCAGCUGGUAGAAUGGUCAUUUGUAAGUCCGAGAUGAUUAGAGCUAGGUGGACUUAGUUACCUGUCCAUUCAGACAUGGAGUUUUGCUAUGUCUAUAUUUACAGUCAGGAUUUGAGAGGUUAUAAAGAGUAUGGUUUGAUUUUUAUGAUAUGUAAUUUUUCACGAGAAAAUUCUCUUGAAAAUAAACUCUAGAAUUAUGUGUAUGUGUACAGAGUAGAAGUAUUUAUUCAUUCAUUCAUUCAUUCAUUCAUUCAUUCAUUUAUUUAAUAUCUUACCUUCUAGACUUCAUGCUACAUGAAGACAAAGACCAUAUUUUCAUGUUUAUUAUAUCUCCAGCUACUAAGGUAGUGCCUGGCAUAGAGUAGAGGUUCAGUAAAUGUAUGCUGAAUUAAUUAAAGAGUAAAUCAGUCUUCUCUCAGCCAAGGUCCACCCAUGAUUUCCAUUGUUACCUUGGUUCUUAUGCUUUAUUUUCUUUGCUUGUUCUUCUGAUAACAGUCUGUGUUGAACUACGGUGGUGGAGAAAUUAGUCAAAAUGAUUGGUGUAAAACAUACCACAUCAGAAGAGGGACAGGCUAAUCAUAAAGUCUUUGUAGAGUCUUGCAAACAUUCUUACUUAAAAUCCACAUUGGUGAUCAAUAGUGUGUACUAGUUAAGGAUUAUACAUGAAAUGAGAUAUUUAUCAUGUUUCAUAAAGGUCUAAACCUGGGACAUGGUGAAGAGUAAAUGCUGUAUUUCAAUGUAUAUUUUUCUCCUGUGCCCUAGUUGAUAGAACUAAGACGUAUCAACAGAAAUAUUUACUUUUGUAGUUGAGAUAUUAUUCUUUUUAGCAGUCUAUUUCAAGGACCUUGAACAUCAAAGAUAGCAUCUGGAUGGUACACACCUAACAUAGGGAAAAAUUAUAAUAUCCUUUGCAUGCCAUGCUCUCAAUAAAAGUAUUUUCUAGAUAAAUUGACAUUGACUAGUGGACUUUAUGAAUCUACUAAUUAUCAGCUACAGGUUAAGAACAUCACAAUUGCUAGUUCAAAUUAUUCAUACAUUUCCCAUAUGGGAUUGACUAUAUAUUUAUUUAUAUGUUCAUUCAUUCAUUUACUACUAAAAUAUAAUUGAAAUCUGACUUCAAAGACAACUAACUAUAAGGUUCAGAUCAAGGAGGCCCCUAUAUGCCACAGAAGAGACUGGUUAAAUUUCUGUCUUAAGUAAAUUUUCCACCAUCUAUGUUAUUCUUGACACAUUUCAUUCUAUAUUUAUGAAGAUCCUGGAAUAUGUUGUUGUUGCUGUUGUGUGUUUUGUUUUUUGUUUUUUUUUUCUAAAAUGGCAGUUUGAUUUACUUUCCACCCCCUGAGAGAAGAUAGAAUGACACUGGGUGGAAAUCAAGAUCGAUGGGUUUGCUAACUAAGGUCUGCAUGAGAAGUGAUUCUCUGAAUUUUCCAAGGUAGUUCUACUUAUACUAUUGCAUUUUUUUAUUUUUUAUGUUUUUUAAAUAUUCAUUUUUUGAGAGAGAGAGAGGUAGAGAGGUAGAGAGAGAGGGGGACAGAGCAUCUGGAGUAACCUCCAUGCUGACAGCAGUGAGCCUUACGUGGUGCUCAAACUCAUGAACUUUGAGAUCAUAACCUAGCCAACGUUGGACACUUAAUGGACUGAGCCACCCAGAUGCCCCUGUAUUUCUGUUUUUUUAAUCACUCAUAUUCACCUUGAGCUUGUGUAACAAUUCUACUUCAUUACUGCCCCUUCGACUCUUGUUUAUAACUUCUAUCCUCUCUCCCUCACCUCACUCUAUAGUCUUAGCCUGGUAACCAGUUCAUUAUCCUUCCAUUUGUGACCAAAAAUGGUAUGUUACUGAACGUGAUAAUUAACUGUCACACGUGAAUAUACUUUACAUAUUUCAUCUCACUUAAUCCUUGGGCCAUUUUUUUUUUUUUUACUGUUUCUUUAUUUUGAGAGACAGAGAGAGAGCAAACAGGGGAGGGGCAGAGAGAGAGAGGGAGAGAAAUAAUCCCAAGCAGGCUCCACACUGGCAGCACAAGCUGACAUGGCUCUCGAACCCACGAGUUGUGAGAUAAUGACCUGAGCCGACAUCAAGAGUUGGGCACCCAACUGACUGAGUCACUCAGAGGCCCCAAGUGGGUCAUACUAUUAUAGCUAUGAAUUCUUAAUUUGUAGAUUUUAUUUGUUCACAGGAGAGCAAAUUGUGGCUCACAGAUCUUAGGUGAUUUGCUCAAAGUCAUGCAGCCAUGACUGACUGAGUCAUGAGUGGCUGAGAUGGAGUUUGAAGACAAUCUGUCAAACAAAAGCGCCAUGUUCUUUCUAAUUAUUACAACCUGCUGUGUCUUGUCGUGCCCACCCCCCUUUUUUUUUUUUUUUACUGAAAUGGUCUUAACCUCUUUCUUCUGCAUCCCUUCCCUGCUGACCAAUUUUUUCUUCAAAGCCCACUGCAGUUAUGACCUCUUCUGUGAGGCCUUGUUGAUGCUCUUGUCCUUAGCAUUUUGUGUGUCACACAUCCGUAUGAACGUAUAUCCCAAACAUAUAUCCCAUAACAAAAUCAUCAUGGGUGAUUUUUUUGGUUUGAAAAAAAUAUGGUAAUAAUUUGUCAUAAAAAUAUUUUAUUUAUGUCACCAUGAAAUGAACCUAUUGUGGCUAUUUUCAAAGAUGCUUACAAUUAAUUAUUUUUCAGGUGUCUUAGUCUAAGUUUUGAAUAUGAUGAAAAUCAAUGAUGAUAUAUUCCACAUAAAAACAAAAGCAUUUUGGGUCCUCUACAGCUUUCAAAAGUUUAGAGAAGUCCUGAAACCCAAAUGUUUAAGUUCCUCUGACUGAAUCAGUAACUAGCACAGAUUGAACACUCAUUAAAUAUUUGAUGAGCAAAAUUGAAUUAUCAAAUUGAUAUAACAACAUUCAUUUGCAGAAAUGAUUAAUGUCUUACGUGAGGACUUAGGCUUUCUAUAAUUUUACAAGCUGACUCAAACAAUUAUAAGUUAGGAAAAGAAUGAGCAAAAUCCACAUUAUAAUGCAAUUUUACAGGGGCUCCUGGGUGGCUCAGUCCUUUAAGCAUCCGGCUUCAUCUCAGGUCAUGAUCUCGUGGUUUGUGAGUUGGGGUCUAGCGUCGGGCUCUGUGCUGACAGCUCAGAGCCUGGAGCCUGUUAGGAUUCUGGGUCACCCUCUCUCUUUCUGCCCUUCCCCCACUCAUGCUCUGUCAACCUCUCUCUGUCUUUCCCUCUCUCCUAAAAGUAAAUAAACUUUAAAAAUAAUUAAAAAAAUAAAAUGUAUUUUCACAUUUUAUUUUGAUUUCUUGAUUUCUUUUUAAUAUAAUUUGUUGUCAAACUGGCUUACAUGCAACACCUGGUGCUCAUCCCAACAAGUGCCCUCCUCAAUGCCCAUCACCCACUUUCUCCUCUCCCCCAUACCCCCAUCCACUCUCAGUUUGUUCUCUGUAUUUAAGAGCCUCUUGUGGUUUGCCUCCCUCCCUCUCUGUAAAAUUUUUUUCCCUUCCCUUCCCCCAUGGUCUUCUGUUAAGUUUCUUAAGAGCCACAUUGAGUGAAAACAUGAUUAUCUGUCCUUCUCUGGCUGACUUAAAAUAUUUUUACAUUUAAAAUUUUUUAUUCAACGUUUUUAUUUAUUUUUGGGACAGAGAGAGACAGAGCAUGAACGGGGGAGGGGCAGAGAGAGAGGGAGACACAGAAUCGGAAACAGGCUCCAGGCUCUGAGCCAUCAGCCCAGAGCCCGACGCGGGGCUCAAACUCACGGACCGCGAGAUCGUGACCUGGCUGAAGUCGGACGCUUAACUGUCUGCACCACCCAGGCGCCCCAAAAUAUUUUUACAUUUUAAAGUAAACUUCAAAUAUUAAUUAUAUCAAUUGAGUGAAAUCAUGUAUUAAUUAAAUUUAAAAUUGUAAAUGAACAUUAUUCAGUGCAUUAAUCAACAAUUAACAGUUAGACUGCUGGUUUGCAUAAUGGACAGAGAGGCCCAUACUAUUUUUUUAUGUUUAUUUUGUUAUUUUGAGAGAGAACGAGAGAGCGCAUGGGUGGGGGAGAGGAGCGGAGAGAAAGGGAGAGAGAAUCCCAAGUUGACUCCACUCUCACCACAGAGCCCAAUGACUGAUGAGUGGUGGUGUUCGAUCCCAUGACCAUGAGAUUUCAUGAUCUGAGCCAAAACCAAGAGUUGGGCUCCCAAAUGACUAAGCCACCCAAGCACCCAAGUGGGUAAUACUAUUAUAGCUAUAAAUGGUGAAAUUUAUAGGGAGAGCAGAUUUGUAAAACAUUAGGAAUUUGAAAAUAAGCAAAAUAUCAUAGAUUUGCUAGAAGCUUUAUAUAAUAUUUUAAUGCAACUAAAUUUUGAAAUUUUAAAAAAAUUGUCAAAAAAUGUAUCAUAACUCCAGAUCUGUAUAUGGCAAAACUCCCAUUGUCACUAUAAGAGUAAAUUUUUAGGAAAGAGUGUGUAAUAUAAAAUAAAAUUAAUGAGCAUCUUCAGUUAAAGAGAAAAGAGCAAAAGGAUAUUUCAUGUUUUUGCUUUAGAGUUAAAGAAAUUUAAACAUCAUAUGCUAGCAUUAAUACACCCUAUUUUGAAUGCAUAUAUAUCAAACUCAUUUAAAAUGCAAUUCAGUAUUAGUAGCUGAGGUUUACACUUAAAUGCUUUUUAUACUAUUUCCUAAUUUCUUCAUUGUACAGUCAUUUACCAAAGCUGGAUUCUGGUAAUAGCAAACUUUUUUACUUAGCUGAUUUAUAUUGCCCUUAAGCUAUGCAAGCUAUGCUUUUAAAUCUUAGGAGUACAGAAUAUAACACAGGAGUCUAGAAACCCAUUCUUAACACUUACUAAUAAGAGCUGAAUAAAAGAUUAACAGCUAUUCUUUUAUCUUAAAUCGUUAUGAUUUUUACUGAUUAAAAUAAAACAUCAGGUGCUGCCUACACGAUACUAUUUCCCCCUUUGCAUUUUCUGGCUUUUCCUUCCUUGUGCUCUCAGUAGUUAAGUUUGACUAAUAACCUCAUUCAAGGUUUAUAUGUAUAAGAUAUACAUAAUAAAUAAUGGAUUUAUAAAAUAAGUACAAAAUAAGAUGCAUUUUGCAAGGAGUUCAUUGGAUGAUGUCAUGUUUGCAAAGCACGCUUUUUUUUAAUGUAUUUAUUUUGAAAGAAAGAGAGUGAGUGAAUGGAGGAGGGGAAGAGAGAGAGAGAGAGAGAGAGAGAGAAUCCCAAGCACGCUCCAUGAUGUCAGAGCAGAGCUGUACAUGGGGCUCAAACCCACAAACCCUGAGAUCAUGAUGUGAGCCAAUAUCAAGAGUUGGAUGCUUAACUGACUGAGCCACCCAAACACCCCUGCAAUAGCACAUUACGAAUGCUACAAGAACAGGUAGUGUUCCUUCUGCAAAAGUUUUCAGGUUCCACCUCUCUCCAUUGCCCGAGUGGGAGAUCUUAAUCCUGUCACGCCAAAGUGAGCACAGACAACCGGGCUGGCCUGUCCACACGCCAGCCCUGCCCAUAUACACAAGGACACUAACAUUAUGUUUAUUAAAAUACCCUUUUUGAUCAUUAUUUAGCCUCUAUUAGCAAGAAGGAGGAUGAAAGAAAAUCAGAACUAUCUCGUUGCCCAGAGCAUGGUUUCCACAGUGUAACACACUAGACUGCUCAUCUUCAGUAGAGACUUUCGGUAGGAAUGUGCGAGACUGUGGGGGAAGUUUUAGAGUUAGACCCAGAGCUGAAAUAUGUUUUCUAAUUGUUAGAAAAAAAAUUGUUUUUAAGAUAGACCUUACAAAGAGGAUAAGGAAAGCAAUAGGGUUAUCAGGAAUGUUUACCCAGUGUGGUAAAUAGUGUUUUCUCAUAUGUCCUUGUACCAGACACACUGGGGUUUUGAGAAAAGCUUAAGACAUUAAAUAGAGAACAGCAGUCUCACGGGCCAAAUUAAUCUUAUAUUGAUAGAUGCGUCUCUUCAACAUAUCAAGGUGUCUUCCUCUUCUUCUUCUUCUACUUUUUCUUCUUCUUCUUUUUAAGUUUAUUUGUUUAUUUUGAGAGAGAGAGAGAGAGAGAGAGAGAGAGAGAGGAGGGGCAGAAAGAAAGGGAGAGAGAGAAUUCCAAGCAGACUGUGCACUGCCAGUGAAGAGCCCAACUUGGGGCUCAAACUCACUAACCAUGAGAUUAUGACCUGAUCUGAAUUCAAGAGUCAGACACUUAACCGACUGACACUUAACCACCCAGGCACCCCCAUCAAGGUGUCAUUUACGCUUCCUUCCAUUGCACUGUCUAUUCUGGUUGGAGUCACUUCAGACCUGCCAGCACUCAACACCCUCCUUUCCACAUAAUGCCUUUGGUUGCAUCAGCUUUCCUUCCUGCAAGCUGCUUCUUUCUUCUAUCCUUUACCCUUAUCCUACUCAGUCUUUGAGAAGAACCUCAGCAUCUGUCUUGUCAAAGUUUGCUCCCCUCACCUCUUCUCUUGUAAUUUCCAGGUGCUACAAAGUUUGACCCUUAGUUUUGAUCCCCACCUAAAGACUGGAAUCCUUAUGUGUAUGAACCAAGACUUGUGCCUUAUUCUUCCGUGUGACAGUUCAACAUUGUGCUCUCUGUGAUUACUUCACUCAGUCACAUGCCCAUGAGUGUGUGUAUCUUAAUAUCAGUAUUUCUACCUUGAUUAUAUAUUUUUCCAAAAAUAGAAAUUAGGAGAGGCCGACUUUACAAUGGGCCGACCCAUGGUAUUCUCUUUUAUGUCAUUGUUGUUCCAUGUAUGUGACAGAGAAUCUCUGUCCUUUAGGAAAAGCAGUCUCAUUAAAACCCUCUAAUGUCAAUUCUGCUCAAUAAUAAUUACACAGUAUCUCUCUGUUCACUUUUUAUUUUCGUUUUUCAUUCAGGUGAAAAUCUAGCUUAUAUCGUUGUCCAUAAGCAGAUUCCUACCAAAUACCCUCCUAGCGCCAGAGAUCAUUUUAUUCCCCUGGCUUCUACCUCUUACAUAUAAAGAAAAAAUAGCUCUUAAUUUUGCAUUAUUUAAUCCAUAAUGUUCCCUUCUCCAGUCCACGAAUCCAUGACUCUUUAAAAUUCCUGUUUAAUCUUUUCAGUUACUAUUCUAUGUGGUUACAGUUAUUUAUAAACUCAGCUAUUUAUAAAAUCAUUUUAUAUUACUUGUUAAAUCUUGAAAAGUUGUACUAUUAGUGUUAUUUUGUGUUUUAUGUGUGUGUAUUUAUUUUCCAAAAUUUCUCAUAAGUAUAUCUUUGGUUAUUUUUGUAUCUUCCGAAUUAUAGUGCUAAUUUUCAAAUCUAUUACAUCAUAAUAACCUUCCCAAGGUCUAAGGAAGAAUUUACUAUAUACAAAAUCCUUAGGGUAUUAGGAAGCCGCAAAAAAAAUACUGUACUUUAUGCUGCAUGCAAGAACCUUAUAACAAAUUAAGAGCAUGUGGAUCCUUUUUCUUCUGGCUUGCGAAAUUCCCACAUUUGGUUCUUCCAAAGACAAAAUGAUGAUUCCAAAAUACUCUCUCAGGAAUAUUUAAAUAUAGGAAUAAUUAGGUUUAUUUUUUUUUCCUUACUCCUUACUGGAAUGUGUAGGUUUUAAUUUUAAGAGGGAAUUUAAGGUUUAAAAUAUUAUGUGAAAUAACAAUAUUUUUAAAAUUAAAUACAAAAUUUAAAGAUUAUGAGAAAAAACAAAGCUAUAAAAAUAUGUUUAAACCUAUCAGAUACAAAUUAAAUUGUCUCCUUUGAGGUUUUCUUUUCUUUUUUUUUAUUUCAACAGGCCUAGACUACAUAUGCCUUCAGAAUUCUUUGAUGCUAAUCUCUUAUGAUAACCAAUUAGUUUCUAAAUUUCUCAAUUCAAGGGCUGACUAAUACUGUUGCCUAAUCAUUAGGUGGGUCAUGUUACUUUAAAAAGAGAUGAUGGCUAAUAGUAAGCAGUGUGUCAAGAAUCAGAGGAAUUGAGAAAUUGGAAAAUUUGGAGACACCCUGUCUAAACAAGAUUAAGAUAAAACCAAAAGGAUUAUCAUGCUUCUAACCCCUCAGAUCUUUGUGAUAGCUGCAUUCCUAAAUGUCAGGAUUAAAGGAUAGAAUCACAUUCAGAGUGCAGACAUGUAUUCAUGAAAAUCCCUGUCUUUAAACAAAAAUUCAAGAAUGUCCCAACCCGUCCAUAAUACACUAAGAAACGUAUUGGGGUGAGGAGUCAUUUUUUUUUUCACAAAGAAAAAUUAAUUCCCUCCUAUUUUUCAUUUUCUACAAUAUUUUUCUUUUCUGUUUUACUAUUUUUUUUUAAAUUUGGAAUUCAAAUUUUAGAGGAGCCUUGAUUCGCAACAAAACUGAGAAAAAGGUACAGAGAUUUCCCAGAUACCACCCCCCCUCCACACAUGCACAGCUUCCUCCGUUAUCAACAACCCCACCACAGUGGAAUACCCCUUAUUUUCUUCAUAAAACUGUGCAUAUCUUUUUACAAGUUUAUUUCCACUUUGUAUAAAAAUGUCUCUAAAUAGCGUAAAACAAUUACUUUUCAUAGGUAGUGUGUAUCUAAAUACAAACCUACAAAACUAAAGAUUAAAAACAAAUACGAAGAACAAAAUCAAGUAGCAGUGUUUGGUUUUCAGGUGUGGUAUGAUCUCAUAUAUUGGUAUAUGAAAACAAUCACUAUUAAAAUCCAACUUGUUUACCAUUAUCAACUGUUUUUAAACAUUUCCAUUUUACUUCUUUUUAUAUAACUCAUAUAUUUACUUUUCAAAAUGUACAUAUGGUCAAGAUUAAAUCAUGUCUACAACAUAUAAUUAGAACGUAAGCCUUUUUUAAUAAAUUUUAUUAGUUACACCUCUUGCAGUGCAUAGGAAUUUUAAGUUUAAUUCUUUUUUAUUAAAUUCUUUUUUAUUAAGUUAAUAAAUUGAAGUUGUUUUGAUAUCAGAACUACAUCCCCUUAGGAGAAUGUAAGAAAGAAAGUUGGUUGGGAGCCAGUUAUGUAGCAAUUGGGUAGAGGCAGAAUGAGGAGAUGAUAAUGACCCUACUGUGUGUUGGAAAAAUACGUAUAUGUUUGAUAUUGUUUAUCUUAUAUAGUUUUUUUUUUCUUAAACCUGGUGUAAAGAAAAUCUAUACCCAAAUAUCAAAGAGAGAAUAAGAUAGUACUAUUAUGUGUAGUAGCUCCCCGUAUCCCUAGACUUGGAAGAUUUUGGUCGUAAGAAUGUGCCCACUGACAACGUCAAUAUACCUAAUUUGCACAAGUGAUUCUUGAAGUUUGUCUAGAUUUUAAGAAAGGAAAGAAAGGAAACAAAAUCAGAGUUUUUGGAAAUUGUUUUAUUGGCCAGGUCUAUGGAUGGACACCAUUGUGUAGGGACUGCUGAUUUUCCCUUUACAUAUUUCCCCAUCUCCCUUCCCCAGGUGUUGCUGCCAUCACUACCUUUCCCUUCCUCCCCUUUCCUCAUGGCAAGACGCAUGGA
Molecule: long non-coding RNA, 29166 nt
Filed under: Lynx pardinus (Iberian lynx)
Lineage: Eukaryota; Metazoa; Chordata; Mammalia; Carnivora; Felidae
Source: RNAcentral